UGGUGUCCAGACUGGAUUUGAACUUGA
This 27-nucleotide non-coding RNA is filed under the name Mus musculus (house mouse). The record is from RNAcentral. Lineage: Eukaryota; Metazoa; Chordata; Mammalia; Rodentia; Muridae.